AACGCACAUUGCGCUCCUUGGUAUUCCGGGGAGCACGCCUGUUUGAGAAUCAGUAUAAUAUAUCGACCACGUUUUCUGACCUUUCGGGGUUGGGGAGCGGUGUCGGAUUUGGGCCUUUUGCUUGUUCAUCGAGCAAUGGCUUGAAAUUGAAUGUCACGAAUCCAACGGACACCUGUCUAAUGGGAUUUCAAGCGCAUGAGAGAGUGUUUUCACUUUUUAUUACGUUUGACCGCCUUUGAUGGGUUUUAAAGUGCCGCUGUUUGAGUCGACUCAACUGAUUAACACGGGGCAGGGGGGCGUCAGUCCUCAGGUCUCGAACACUUGGUCUCAAAUCAGGUGGGAAAACCCGCUGAACUUAA
RNAcentral lists this unclassified non-coding RNA (359 nucleotides) under uncultured Rhizophlyctis. Its description in RNAcentral is "sequence contains ITS2". The record is from RNAcentral. Lineage: Eukaryota; Fungi; Chytridiomycota; Chytridiomycetes; Spizellomycetales; Spizellomycetaceae.